GAUGAACGCUGGCGGCGUGCCUAAUACAUGCAAGUCGAGCGAACAGCCGUGGAGCUUGCUCCUCUGAAGUUAGCGGCGGACGGGUGAGUAACACGUGGAUAACCUAUCUAUAACACUGGGAUAACUUCGGGAAACCGGAGCUAAUCCCGGAUUAUAUCUUGAACAGCACGGGUCAAUACUUCUAGACGUGUUUGCAGUCACUUAUAGAUAGAUUCGCGCCGCAUUAGCUAGUUUGUAAGGUAGCGGCUUAGCAAGGCAACGAUGCGUACACGACCUGAGAGGAAGGACGGCCAGACUGGAACAGAGGCACGGUCCAGACUCCUACGGGAGGCAGCAGUAGAGAAUCCUCCGCGAUGGGCGAGAGCCUGACAGUGCAACGCCGCGUGAGUGAUGAAGGUCUACGGAUCGGAGAACUAUGUUAUUAGGGAAGAACAAAUGUGUAAGUAACUAGGCACGUCUUGACGGUACCUAAUCAGAAAGCCACGGCUAACUACGUG
RNAcentral lists this ribosomal RNA (497 nucleotides) under uncultured bacterium. RNAcentral describes it as "partial 16S ribosomal RNA". It matches the Rfam family "Bacterial small subunit ribosomal RNA", at positions 28 to 507 of the family's 1533-position model. The record is from RNAcentral.